RNAcentral lists this ribosomal RNA (450 nucleotides) under uncultured bacterium. RNAcentral's name for it is "partial 16S ribosomal RNA". It matches the Rfam family "Bacterial small subunit ribosomal RNA", at positions 354 to 796 of the family's 1533-position model. The record is from RNAcentral.
GUGGGGAAUUUUGGACAAUGGGCGCAAGCCUGAUCCAGCAAUGCCGCGUGCAGGAAGAAGGCCUUCGGGUUGUAAACUGCUUUUGUACGGAACGAAACGGUCCUGGUUAAUACCUGGGGCUAAUGACGGUACCGUAAGAAUAAGCACCGGCUAACUACGUGCCAGCAGCCGCGGUAAUACGUAGGGUGCGAGCGUUAAUCGGAAUUACUGGGCGUAAAGCGGGCGCAGGCGGUGCUGUAAGACAGGCGUGAAAUCCCCGGGCUCAACCUGGGAAUUGCGCUUGUGACUGCAGUGCUGGAGUACGGAAGAGGGGGAUGGAAUUCCGCGUGUAGCAGUGAAAUGCGUAGAUAUGCGGAGGAACACCGAUGGCGAAGGCAGUCCCCUGGGCCUGUACUGACGCUCAUGCACGAAAGCGUGGGGAGCAAACAGGAUUAGAUACCCUGGUAGUCC